RNAcentral lists this non-coding RNA (30 nucleotides) under Mus musculus (house mouse). The record is from RNAcentral. Lineage: Eukaryota; Metazoa; Chordata; Mammalia; Rodentia; Muridae.
UAGUAAUUAAGGUCAGAAUGAAAGAGUGUG